Molecule: ribosomal RNA, 200 nt
Filed under: uncultured bacterium
Lineage: Bacteria
Description: partial 16S ribosomal RNA
Rfam family: Bacterial small subunit ribosomal RNA
Source: RNAcentral
CGGAUUGGAGUCUGCAACCCGACUCCAUGAAGCUGGAUUCGCUAGUAAUCGCGCAUCAGCCACGGCGCGGUGAAUACGUUCCCGGGCCCUUGUACACACCGCCCGUCAAGCCAUGGAAGCCGGGGGUGCCUGAAGUGCGCUGCCGCAAGGAGCGCCCUAGGGUAAAACCGGUGACUGGGGCUAAGUCGUAACAAGGUAAC